GUAGGUGAACCUGCGGAAGGAUCAUUAUGAAUUAAUAAUAUUUGUGAAAUUUCAACAAACAACAUCAAUUUUAUAGUCUAUUAUUUUUAAUUAAAACUUUUAACAAUGGAUCUCUUGGUUCUC
Molecule: unclassified non-coding RNA, 123 nt
Filed under: rhizosphere metagenome
Description: partial ribosomal RNA internal transcribed spacer region
Source: RNAcentral